RNAcentral lists this transfer RNA (70 nucleotides) under Aedes aegypti (yellow fever mosquito). RNAcentral describes it as "partial tRNA-OTHER". The record is from RNAcentral. Lineage: Eukaryota; Metazoa; Arthropoda; Insecta; Diptera; Culicidae.
GUGCUCGGCUAAGAUUCGAACUCAGGACUCUUGUAUGCUAGACGAGCGCUUUACCAUCCAUUUUUACCAC